This 1371-nucleotide ribosomal RNA is filed under the name uncultured bacterium. RNAcentral's name for it is "bacterial SSU rRNA". It matches the Rfam family "Bacterial small subunit ribosomal RNA", at positions 28 to 1381 of the family's 1533-position model. The record is from RNAcentral.
GAUGAACGCUGGCGGCGUGCCUAAUACAUGCAAGUCGAGCGAACGGACGAGAAGCUUGCUUCUCUGAUGUUAGCGGCGGACGGGUGAGUAACACGUGGAUAACCUACCUAUAAGACUGGGAUAACUUCGGGAAACCGGAGCUAAUACCGGAUGAUAUUUUGAACCGCAUGGUUCAAAAGUGAAAGACGGUCUUGCUGUCACUUAUAGAUGGAUCCGCGCUGCAUUAGCUAGUUGGUAAGGUAACGGCUUACCAAGGCAACGAUGCAUAGCCGACCUGAGAGGGUGAUCGGCCACACUGGAACUGAGACACGGUCCAGACUCCUACGGGAGGCAGCAGUAGGGAAUCUUCCGCAAUGGGCGAAAGCCUGACGGAGCAACGCCGCGUGAGUGAUGAAGGUCUUCGGAUCGUAAAACUCUGUUAUUAGGGAAGAACAUAUGUGUAAGUAACUGUGCACAUCUUGACGGUACCUAAUCAGAAAGCCACGGCUAACUACGUGCCAGCAGCCGCGGUAAUACGUAGGUGGCAAGCGUUAUCCGGAAUUAUUGGGCGUAAAGCGCGCGUAGGCGGUUUUUUAGUCUGAUGUGAAAGCCCACGGCUCAACCGUGGAGGGUCAUUGGAAACUGGAAAACUUGAGUGCAGAAGAGGAAAGUGGAAUUCCAUGUGUAGCGGUGAAAUGCGCAGAGAUAUGGAGGAACACCAGUGGCGAAGGCGACUUUCUGGUCUGUAACUGACGCUGAUGUGCGAAAGCGUGGGGAUCAAACAGGAUUAGAUACCCUGGUAGUCCACGCCGUAAACGAUGAGUGCUAAGUGUUAGGGGGUUUCCGCCCCUUAGUGCUGCAGCUAACGCAUUAAGCACUCCGCCUGGGGAGUACGACCGCAAGGUUGAAACUCAAAGGAAUUGACGGGGACCCGCACAAGCGGUGGAGCAUGUGGUUUAAUUCGAAGCAACGCGAAGAACCUUACCAAAUCUUGACAUCCUUUGACAACUCUAGAGAUAGAGCCUUCCCCUUCGGGGGACAAAGUGACAGGUGGUGCAUGGUUGUCGUCAGCUCGUGUCGUGAGAUGUUGGGUUAAGUCCCGCAACGAGCGCAACCCUUAAGCUUAGUUGCCAUCAUUAAGUUGGGCACUCUAAGUUGACUGCCGGUGACAAACCGGAGGAAGGUGGGGAUGACGUCAAAUCAUCAUGCCCCUUAUGAUUUGGGCUACACACGUGCUACAAUGGACAAUACAAAGGGCAGCGAAACCGCGAGGUCAAGCAAAUCCCAUAAAGUUGUUCUCAGUUCGGAUUGUGGUCUGCAACUCGACUACAUGAAGCUGGAAUCGCUAGUAAUCGUAGAUCAGCAUGCUACGGUGAAUACGUUCCCGGGUCU